This 569-nucleotide long non-coding RNA is filed under the name Jatropha curcas. Its description in RNAcentral is "long non-coding RNA (JCUR_LNC002219)". Lineage: Eukaryota; Viridiplantae; Streptophyta; Magnoliopsida; Malpighiales; Euphorbiaceae. The record is from RNAcentral.
GCUUUUAGAGAGAGAGAGAGAGAGAGAGAGAGAGAGAGAGAGAGAGAGAGAGAGAGGAUUCAUAUAUCUCUAUGUCUUGCUCUGGAACAGUCAAAAAUGGCCUAGGCCAUCAUCAUCAUCAUCAUCUAGGGAAGAAAGAAAGUAGUUUGAGUGAUAAGUAUGUAGAUUCCUCUACUUAUAGCUCCAAAACUAUUGUAUUUGUAGCUUAAUUGGGAAUUGGAAUAACAAAUUAAGUGCUCACUUCUCAGAAUCUGUCAGUAGUGUUCUUGAGGAGGCCCUUCCAUUCCUUGUGGGUUGAAUCAAAGAAUCAUAUGUAAAUCACUUGUUGAAGAGGUUUGUAUUUAUUUUUAACUUCUUUAAUUAAACAAAAUCAAGUGAGCUAUUUUUCUGUAUUUUGUAUGAGAGGGGAGGGUGCAUUCUCUUUUUUUCUUUCUUUUAUUAUACCAACCGCAUAACUUUCAUAAUGUAAGUCUCCCAAUAUGGUGUGUAUAUAUUAAUUUCAUUGACAAUAACCUUUUUUUUUCUGAAGGUAAAUUUCAUUCACAAUAAUAUUUUCAAUAGGAGUACAU